AGUGAACGCUGGCGGCGUGCCUAAUACAUGCAAGUCGAACGGAGAUUAAGUAGCUUGCUAUUUAAUCUUAGUGGCGCACGGGUGAGUAAUAUAUAGCUAACUUGCCCAUUACUAAGGGACAACAGUUGGAAACGACUACUAAUACCUUAUACUCCGUAUCUAUAUAAGUAGAUACGGGAAAGUUUUUCGGUAAUGGAUAGGGCUAUAUCGUAUCAGCUAGUUGGUAAGGUAAUGGCUUACCAAGGCUAUGACGCGUAACUGGUCUGAGAGGAUGAUCAGUCACACUGGAACUGAGACACGGUCCAGACUCCUACGGGAGGCAGCAGUAGGGAAUAUUGCUCAAUGGGGGAAACCCUGAAGCAGCAACGCCGCGUGGAGGAUGACACUUUUCGGAGCGUAAACUCCUUUUCUUGGGAAAGAAUUAUGACGUACCCAAGGAAUAAGCACCGCA
Molecule: ribosomal RNA, 451 nt
Filed under: Campylobacter showae
Lineage: Bacteria; Pseudomonadati; Campylobacterota; Epsilonproteobacteria; Campylobacterales; Campylobacteraceae
Description: bacterial SSU rRNA
Rfam family: Bacterial small subunit ribosomal RNA
Source: RNAcentral